AAUUCUAAGAGAAAUAUGUCGCUUGGAGAAAGCCCUUUAAUUUUAAAAAAAAGUAUAUAUUUUGCUAAUAACUAAAGUAAAAACAGAUAAAACCAAGAGAACAUGGCCAUCAUUGUUCAAGGCCUCAUACUCUCUGAUGCAAAAAGGGUACAUGUGCAGGAUGUGCAGGUUUGUUACAUAGGUGAACGUGUGCCAUGGUGGUUUGCCGCACCUAUCAACCCAUCACCUAGCCUAAACAGUGACAGAACCAAGCUUUCAGCACUUCACCUUUCUAUGCUUCCAGUGAAAAUGGUGAUAAAGUGAAGGACAUGCUCCAGGGAAUCUGCUGAUGUCUCCAAAAUGUCAUCGGCAAAGCGGCGGAGAAAAAUGAGAAAAUCACCCA
Molecule: long non-coding RNA, 382 nt
Organism: Gorilla gorilla gorilla (western lowland gorilla)
Lineage: Eukaryota; Metazoa; Chordata; Mammalia; Primates; Hominidae
Exons: 4
Source: RefSeq, a predicted model, not a curated record